AUCAUUACUUUUUUUUUAAAGUAAAUAAAAAUAUAAGAGUGGGUUUUAAAUACAUUUUUGCUCCUAAAUGUGUACUCAUAGUCACCAAUUCGGCAGCCGAAUUGGUGACCUUAAGUACAAUAAUGAUCCUUCCGCAGGUUCACCUACGGAAA
RNAcentral lists this unclassified non-coding RNA (152 nucleotides) under uncultured fungus. RNAcentral's name for it is "sequence contains ITS1". The record is from RNAcentral. Lineage: Eukaryota; Fungi.